CAUCUCAUCACGCGCGUCUCCAUCACGGCUCCUCCUUCCAGCCCCACCUUCCGUCUUCUCUCCCCGCCUUACGCAGGCUCUCCUAAGUCCUCUCCGAGACCACUGCAAUAGUCCGAUACUAUUGGAAAGAAGUCUCUGGAUCCAAGGGACACAAACUCACCCAGAAGCAGCCUAGGUCAAACAGAGCGUGGCUGGAAGGACACUGGGAGGAACGGCUGCCGAACAGAAGGCUGAUGCGUGGGACCCCUGGGCCUUGGGAGACCAGGAAAUGAGGCUCCUCUGCCUCCCCACCUCUUGCCCCUGCCUCUCUGCCUGUCACCUCCACUCUCCCCGUGCAGGUGGCGUUUCCCCACGCGUCAGGACACACCUCCACCUAGGGCUCCCAGCGUGCCAGCCCACUGCGUCUGCAACUGAGAGAGGCACCCUCAUUCUCAGAUGUUUGGAAAAAGGAAUCCCAGAGAAACAGGCCUCCAGAUCAAUGAGAUCGAGCAGCAGAGUCAGGAUUUACCCAGUCUGCUUUGCAGGAAGAUGGCCAAUCUCUGAGAUGGCUGGGGGCUCUGGGUCCCACAGAUGCCUCUCCAUGGGUGAAGGAAAAAUAAGCCAUUUUUUUACUUGCAUUAGCAUCUCUUCUAGCAACAUACAAGUUAUGGCUAAAAAGAAAGACCAAAAUGCUGUACUUCUACAACAAUGCCUGCUAGCACUUGGCCAAUAAGAAAUGAAAAUAGAGAUCACAUCACCACUAUCACUAGAAAGAAACUUGGGUUUAUUGAAAAAAAAUCAGUUUUGAAGUAA
Microcebus murinus (gray mouse lemur) is the source of this 792-nucleotide non-coding RNA. NCBI's taxonomy places the organism in Eukaryota, Metazoa, Chordata, Mammalia, Primates, Cheirogaleidae. The record is from RefSeq and is a predicted model, not a curated record.